CAGCCAUCCCUCCUGGAGCCCCUCCCUCUCUCGGUCCUCCCCACAUCCGUCUCCUGGCAAUGAUGUCUCCUUUUCUCCUUCAUCUCAAGGUCCAGCCUGCCGAGUGGCCUGUGGCCGGCCUGGGGGCGGUGCGGACCCCCUCCCCACAGGCCGCAGGGGAGAUGCCCAUCGCCCGAAAGCGUCCUAUCCCCUACUACCGGCCCAGCCCCUCGUCCUCCUCCAGCUGCCUGAGCAGCGAGUACUCAAGCCGGAGCCCCAGCCGCAGCCCCAGCCCAGGCCACAGCCACGGAAGCUACAGCAGCCGCAGCCGCGGGACCCGCAGCCGCACGCGCAGCCCCUCCCGGACCCCCAGUCCCAGCUACCACAGCCGGAGCAGCUCAGAGAGUGGGGGCUUCUGAGCCCAGACAAACCCAGCUUGGUGCCCCCUGGAAUAGGGAAAGGCGAGGGGUCAGGACCCAGGACCUGUGAGGGGGCCUGCACCCCACUGCUACAAAGAGGUCCCCGGGCCAGGGAAGACCUUGAGGGUGGGUGUCCUGCAGAGGAGGAGAAGCUGGGUUCUGCUGCUUCUAGAGGGUCCCUACCUCCACCUCCUGCCUGCCCACCACGUCCAGGGAACAAAGAGCCGUUGCGAACACAGGGAUCACCCUGUCCCCCUUCCUGCUUGAUGCCAGCUCACCAGGCUGGGGACAGCUCCGUGGACCCAGGGACACCUUGGAAGGUGCCAGACCUGGGAGCCUCCCCCACCCUCUCCACAGGGCCCUCGGCUCCUCUCUAUCAAUGGGCAGACAAGGAGGUGGGAAGGCGAGCAGGAUCUAAGUUAGACAGAAGGAAGAAUGGCCUAACCCUUGGUGCAGCACCAUCCAGGCUGGGGAGCUGCUUCCUUCUGAACUGGCUGCAGGAUCCUGGCUGAGGGCUGGAGGCCAGCCCACAGCCUCCCCCAGCCCCUCCCCUGGCCCAGGAGCACCCACACAGACUAGGUGGGCCCCUAAGCCCCAGCCCGGAGAAGGGGAGCUUACUCCUGGUCCCACCUCUCCUCUCCAGGCCAGGCUGUCCCCUCCAGCCCUCACUCCAUGCCCUGGGCCAAGGCCACAGCAGCCAGGCCUUCUGCAUGACAAGAGGUGGGACAUUCAGACCACACUGCAUCUGACCCUGAGGUCAAAAGGGCUUCAGGUCAGGAUGAGGGAGAGAGAAGGGGUAGAUGGAAGAAGAGCCUGUGAGGAGCAGAGGAGAGCAAUGCAGUCUGAUGACUGAGCAAGCCCUGUUGUCCCAGUGUGCCCUGUGUCUGGGACAUGGGCCAGAUGGCAGCACAGGGUCACAGGCAUAGGAUAACAUGCACUUCGGGGCCUGCCCAAAGGAGCACUUCCUUCUCGGGAUUUGGUGGGGAGGUGGUCAGUGGUGGCUACCCAGAGAAGGGUGCUACAGCCCUUUGAAGAAAGGGUAAGAUCUAGACUGAGGGCCUUGGCCUGGGGCAUUCGUGGGAAAGCAGUGACCGCCCCCCCCCCC
Long non-coding RNA from Ursus americanus (American black bear), 1503 nucleotides. The record is from Ensembl. Lineage: Eukaryota; Metazoa; Chordata; Mammalia; Carnivora; Ursidae.